AGGAGAAGUUGGGCAAAUUCAUCAACUACAGCUUAUAAGCAGUGCAAAGCAUCACAUGCAGCUAUCAAAAUGUCUUCUACAUCUUUUAUUGCUACAACUUUGGUGAUGCUUGUGAGUUAUGGGAUGGCACAACCUACAGACUCGGCAUUAUUCAAUCUCUAUAGCGGAGUGCUCGUGCAGAGCCGAGUAUUGCUUCGUGGACAAGACAAUGUGAACAACAAGUCCAUCAUUCCAUUCAAAGAUGCACCGCACUGUACAGUUUGUGGCAGCAAAGCUUUUUACAACCAAAUGCUCACUGUUGCACUGAUACACAACAAGUACCAGACAGCUAAAGCAAGGAACUCAGAUAGUCAACUACUACCAGGAUUGGCAGCUGUACUGAACAAACUUUCAUCACAAACAUGCCAUUUGCUGAAAAUUGAUCUUGGAGAUGAAUUUGACUGCGACAUUACCGCCAUCCUGAGAUUGAAAGCAAUACUUGAGAUUCAUUUCGCUACGGAAACAACACAGGAUUUGAUGGAUGUUUAUGCAGAAUCAAAGAUGAAUAACCGGCUUCAAGAUCGUUCAGAAGAUUGGAUUAACUGCAAUACAUGUAACAGUUCAACACUUCCAAUACUCAGAAAGCUUUAUUAUUAUAAAUCCCUUACAUGCAGAUGCUAGAUAUCUAGAUAUAGGUCAGACACCAUUAUACUUUUAAAUUGUAAUUGCUGCUUUUACAGGCUAUAUGCAUAUUUA
Molecule: long non-coding RNA, 735 nt
Organism: Halichondria panicea
Lineage: Eukaryota; Metazoa; Porifera; Demospongiae; Suberitida; Halichondriidae
Exons: 3
Source: RefSeq, a predicted model, not a curated record